Molecule: long non-coding RNA, 594 nt
Organism: Drosophila sechellia
Lineage: Eukaryota; Metazoa; Arthropoda; Insecta; Diptera; Drosophilidae
Exons: 3
Source: RefSeq, a predicted model, not a curated record
CUCUUGCCGGGAAAACUGUAAACUGAUUGUUAAAUACUUUAUGCUGCUGCCGCGCCGCAAUAACCAACAAAUUAAAAGCAAAUUUACUUAAUGUAUUGCAUCAAUAAAAAGUUCGGGCAAAGUGCUGUGGUCGCAUUAAGAAUGAAUGUGCAUGUGGGAAAAAUUGAAUUUAAUUGUUUGCACUCCAAUUAGUGACUGUAAUAACUGCGAGUUUCGUGUUCGCAGUUUGUGACUCGCAAAGACAAUUAUCGCUUCCCUAUGCCUGCUGCUGGUGUGCGAAUAAAACAAUUAAUUUAUAUGAUGGGGGACUGACAUGUUUUCUCGAGGCAGCCGCCCUGCAAUGUCAGCACGUGUGUGUCCUGUCAACGAUUGCCAUUGGCGAAAGGAAGGAAAGGAAGCUGAAAGUUGAGCAGGACUUGGCUAUCUGGGACACAGAUUAUGGCCCAAAUCAAUCGAUCGAUCGGAUCAUUACAUUUGAUUGCGCGGCAAGAGCAGGGGAAAUCUUUCGGCAACCAAACGAGGCGCAGUUUAAUUUACUGUAAAACAUUUUUCCUCUCAAAGGAAUUCAUUUUGUUGAGGCUUCCACGAAGCUUU